RNAcentral lists this ribosomal RNA (425 nucleotides) under uncultured bacterium. RNAcentral describes it as "partial 16S ribosomal RNA". It matches the Rfam family "Bacterial small subunit ribosomal RNA", at positions 354 to 796 of the family's 1533-position model. The record is from RNAcentral.
GUGGGGAAUCUUGCGCAAUGGACGAAAGCCUGACGCAGCCAUGCCGCGUGAAUGAUGAAGGUCUUAGGAUUGUAAAAUUCUUUCACCGGGGACGAUAAUGACGGUACCCGGAGAAGAAGCUCCGGCUAACUUCGUGCCAGCAGCCGCGGUAAUACGAAGGGGGCUAGCGUUGCUCGGAAUUACUGGGCGUAAAGGGCGCGUAGGCGGACAGCUUAGUCAGAGGUGAAAGCCCAGGGCUCAACCUUGGAAUUGCCUUUGAUACUGGCUGUCUUGAGUUUGGGAGAGGUGAGUGGAACUCCGAGUGUAGAGGUGAAAUUCGUAGAUAUUCGGAAGAACACCAGUGGCGAAGGCGACUCACUGGCCCAAUACUGACGCUGAGGCGCGAAAGCGUGGGGAGCAAACAGGAUUAGAAACCCCAGUAGUCC